AGGAUGAACGCUGGCGGCGUGCUUAACACAUGCAAGUCGAACGAUGAAGCCGGAGCUUGCUCUGGUGGAUUAGUGGCGAACGGGUGAGUAACACGUGAGUAACCUGCCCUUGACUCUGGGAUAAGCACUGGAAACGGUGUCUAAUACCGGAUACGAACUUCGACGGCAUCGUCAGGAGUUGGAAAGAAUUUCGGCAAGGAUGGACUCGCGGCCUAUCAGCUAGUGUGAGUACGCCACAAGGCGACGACGGUAGCCGGCCUGAGAGGGUGACCGGCCACACGUGGGACUGAGACACGGCCCAGACUCCGACGGGAGCAGCAGUGGGAAUAGUGCACAAGUGGCGCAAGCCUGAUGCAGCGAACGCCGCGUGGAGGGACGACGGCCGUUCGGGUUGUAAACCCUUCGUUUUAAGGUAAGGAA
RNAcentral lists this ribosomal RNA (420 nucleotides) under uncultured soil bacterium. Its description in RNAcentral is "bacterial SSU rRNA". It matches the Rfam family "Bacterial small subunit ribosomal RNA", at positions 26 to 449 of the family's 1533-position model. The record is from RNAcentral.